CCUACGGGUGGCAGCAGUGGGGAAUAUUGCGCAAUGGGGGCAACCCUGACGCAGCAACGCCGCGUGAUUGAAGAAGGCCUUCGGGUUGUAAAGAUCUUUAAUCGGGGACGAAUUUUGACGGUACCCGAAGAAUAAGCUCCGGCUAACUACGUGCCAGCAGCCGCGGUAAUACGUAGGGAGCAAGCGUUAUCCGGAUUUACUGGGUGUAAAGGGCGUGUAGGCGGGCAUGCAAGCCAGAAGUGAAAUCUGGGGGCUUAACCCCCAAACUGCUUUUGGAACUGCGUGUCUUGAGUGAUGGAGAGGCAGGCGGAAUUCCCAGUGUAGCGGUGAAAUGCUUAGAUAUUGCGCAGAACUCCGAUUGCGAAGGCAGCAUACCGGCGGCGAUCUGACGCUGAGGCACGAAAGCGUGGGUAUCGAACAGGAUUAGAUACCCCAGUAGUC
Molecule: ribosomal RNA, 441 nt
Filed under: uncultured bacterium
Lineage: Bacteria
Description: partial 16S ribosomal RNA
Rfam family: Bacterial small subunit ribosomal RNA
Source: RNAcentral